RNAcentral lists this long non-coding RNA (842 nucleotides) under Sus scrofa (pig). RNAcentral describes it as "lncRNA (ENSSSCG00015013134.1)". Lineage: Eukaryota; Metazoa; Chordata; Mammalia; Artiodactyla; Suidae. The record is from RNAcentral.
CUUCAUGGGGGUAGAGGGGGAAUGGUUUAAAAGUUGACAACACCUCCCAAGGGAAUAGCAGGUGCUGUGUGUUAAAUGCUCUGCCAGGUGACUUCACUUCAUCAUCAUAGCACUGAUGAAGGAGUAACAUCAUUGCCUUUUUUUCAGGAGGAAAUCCAAGCUGGGGGAAUUAAAUAAUUCUGUUAGGGUGACAUUCUUAACAAGUGACCAGCCCAAUUUUAAACCCCAGCAUUGUCCCUACAGGCUCUCUGCUCUUCAGCCACCAUGCAAGACAAUUUCAGCCAUAGAACCUAUGGACACUGCCCUUUGGGCAAAGGACACAGAGGGAGCUGUCAUGCAUAAAGUUAUCAGCACUCAAGAUGAAAAACGGAAGCCCUUCCUCGAGGCAGUCCACCUGCCUGGCAAACAGUUGUUUUUUUAAGUAGGUAAGACCUCCCAGAUCCUGGAGAGAAAUGUGUACCUUGUGGCUAGAAGACCUUUCAGGAGCACAGCUUGGGUGGGCAUUUUGAAGGAAUGGCUCUUUUUAUUUUUUUUCCCUAUAUUUCCUGCAUAGUUUUAACUGGGCUUUUGCAGAGAAAGAAAUACCCAAUCUAGAGCCAUCAGCCUGGAGUUUUACCCAGAAAGGGGUAGGGCGGGGGCGGAGUGGAGAAACAAACAAACAAACUACUCACCACUGGCUCCUCAGAGGCUGCAUACAAUGAUCUUGACCUGAUGUCUGCAUUAGAAUUGCCUGCCAGCCUCAGGGCAUUUUCCCUCGGGAGAAAGGGGCUUUACCAUCCAGGGCCAUCUGGUGGGGCUGCAAAGGACAUCCAUAUGGCAAAUAGGGGUGAAACACACCAGAC